CAUAGCGACUAUCGUGGCAUAUCAAUAAGCGGAGGAAAAGAAACUAACAAGGAUUCCCCUAGUAACGGCGAGUGAAGCGGGAAGAGCUCAAAUUUGAAAUCUUCAAGGUUUGACCUUGACGAAUUGUAGUUUAAAGAAGUGUUUUCGGUUAGAGGAGUAGUAAAAGUUCUUUGGAAUAGGACAUCAUAGAGGGUGAGAAUCCCGUAUUUGACUAUUCUUUCUAGCUUUGUGAUACACUUUCAAAGAGUCGGAUUGUUUGGGAAUGCAGUCCAAAAUGGGUGGUAAAUUUCAUCUAAAGCUAAAUAUUGGCGAGAGACCGAUAGCGAACAAGUACCGUGAGGGAAAGAUGAAAAGAACUUUGAAAAGAGAGUUAAACAGUACGUGAGAUUGUCAAAAGGGAAGCGUUUGACACCAGUGUUGUUUUUCCGAAAAUCAAUUAAAAAUUGAUUCAUGCCAGGUUGUAUUGACCUUAUCAGCUUGCAAUUUAGUUUUGGGACUCUUUUUGAUGCACUUUUCGGUUAACAAGUCAACAUCAAUUUCCUUUGCUGUAAAAAGGUAAGAGGAAGGUGGCUUCAAUUUCGGUUGAAGUGUUUAUAGCCUUUUAUCUCUGCAGUCGGGGAGAUUGAGGUCUGCAGCGUAGAUCCUUCGGGGCUAGAUACAUUUAUGCUAAGUUAUAGCUUUUCAUAGACAACUUGUUGACUAUGUUUAGUCAUGUAGCUUACUCGUAAGUGCUAUUUUACCUACGCUUAGGAUGUUGAUAUGCAUGACUGAUAU
This 774-nucleotide ribosomal RNA is filed under the name uncultured Neocallimastigales. Its description in RNAcentral is "partial large subunit ribosomal RNA". It matches the Rfam family "Eukaryotic large subunit ribosomal RNA", at positions 22 to 643 of the family's 3401-position model. The record is from RNAcentral. Lineage: Eukaryota; Fungi; Neocallimastigomycota; Neocallimastigomycetes; Neocallimastigales.